This 1110-nucleotide ribosomal RNA is filed under the name Sordariomycetes sp. genotype 491. RNAcentral describes it as "eukaryotic LSU rRNA". The stretch from base 528 to 1110 matches the Rfam family "Eukaryotic large subunit ribosomal RNA", at positions 1 to 594 of the family's 3401-position model. The record is from RNAcentral. Lineage: Eukaryota; Fungi; Ascomycota; Sordariomycetes.
CAGCGGAGGGAUCAUUAUAGAGUUUUAUAACUCCCAAACCCAUGUGAACUUACCUUUGUUGCCUCGGCGCAGCUACCCUGUAACUACCCUGGAGCGGCUAUUCUGUAGCUACCCUGGGGCGGAUACCCUGUAGCGGCCGACGGCCCAUUAAACUCUUGUUUUUUUAGUAUAUCUGAGUAUCUUAUUUUAAUAAGUUAAAACUUUCAACAACGGAUCUCUUGGUUCUGGCAUCUAUGAAGAACGCAGCGAAAUGCGAUAAGUAAUGUGAAUUGCAGAAUUCAGUGAAUCAUCGAAUCUUUGAACGCACAUUGCGCCCAUUAGUAUUCUAGUGGGCAUGCCUGUUCGAGCGUCAUUUCAACCCUUAAGCCUAGCUUAGUAUUGGGAAUCUACUGAAGGAGCUACCCUGUAGCCACCCUGUAGUUCCUUAAAGAUAACGGCGGAGACGUGGUGUCCCCUGAGCUUAGUAAUUUCUUCUAGCUUCUGGAGCGCUGCGGUUCUUGCCGUAAAACACCCAAAUUUUUAAUGGUUGACCUCGGAUCAGGUAGGAAUACCCGCUGAACUUAAGCAUAUCAAUAAGCGGAGGAAAAGAAACCAACAGGGAUUGCCUCAGUAACGGCGAGUGAAGCGGCAACAGCUCAAAUUUGAAAUCUGGCCUUCCGGUCCGAGUUGUAAUUUGUAGAGGAUGCUUUUGGUGCGGUACCUUACGAGUUCCCUGGAACGGGACGCCUUAGAGGGUGAGAGCCCCGUACGUUUGAAUACCUAUCCUCUGUAAAGCUCCUUCGACGAGUCGAGUAGUUUGGGAAUGCUGCUCUAAAUGGGAGGUAAAUUUCUUCUAAAGCUAAAUACCGGCCAGAGACCGAUAGCGCACAAGUAGAGUGAUCGAAAGAUGAAAAGCACUUUGAAAAGAGGGUUAAAUAGCACGUGAAAUUGUUGAAAGGGAAGGGUUCAUGACUAGACUUUUUCCUAGCGGAUCAUCCGGUGUUCUCAUCGGUGCACUUCGCUAGGUUUAGGCCAGCAUCGAUUUUCGGAGAGGGAUAAAAGCGGUGGGAAUGUGGCUCUCUUCGGGGAGUGUUAUAGCCCGCCGUAUAAUACCUUUCUGGGGAUCGAGGU